RNAcentral lists this ribosomal RNA (468 nucleotides) under uncultured bacterium. RNAcentral's name for it is "partial 16S ribosomal RNA". It matches the Rfam family "Bacterial small subunit ribosomal RNA", at positions 28 to 507 of the family's 1533-position model. The record is from RNAcentral.
GACGAACGCUGGCGGCGUGCUUAACACAUGCAAGUCGAACGGUAAGGCGAUGCUUUUGUGGGGUGUUCGAGUGGCGAACGGGUGGGUAACAAGUGAGUAACCUGCUCCUGAAUUUGGGAUAACUUCUGGUGACUGGGGCUACUAAUGCAUCGUAGCUUCUGAUGAAUGGAGGGGGUUGGCAUGUUUCGGCGGUUGGGGAUGGACUCGCGGCUUAUCAGCUUGUUGGUGGGGUAGUGGCUUACCACGGCUUUGACGGGUAGCCGGCCUGUGAGGGUGACGAGCCACUUCGGGACUGAAAUGCGGGCCGGAGUGCUACGUAAUGCAGCAGGGGGGAAUAUCGCACAAUGGGCGGAAGCCUGAAGCAGCAACGCCGCGGGGUGGAUAACGGCCUUCAGGGUGGAGACCGCUUGCGCCGUUGACGAAGCGUGAGUGACAGGAAUGGGGAAAGAAGCACCGGCUAACUACGUG